AUACGUAGGUGACAAGCGUUAUCCGGAUUUACUGGGCGUAAAGGGCGUGUAGGCGGUCUUGCAAGUCAGAAGUGAAAUUCCUGAGCUCAACUCGGGCGCUGCUUCUGAAACUGCAGGACUUGAGUGCUGGAGGGGAUAGCGGAAUUCCUAGUGGAGCGGUAAAAUGCGCAGAUAUUAGGAAGAACACCGGUGGCGAAGGCGGCUAUCUGGACAGUAACUGACGCUUAGGCGCGAAAGCGUGGGGAGCAAACAGGAUUAGAUACCCUGGUAGUCCACGCCGUAAACGAUAAAUACUAGGUGUAGGGGGUAUCGACUCCCUCUGUGCCGCAGUUAACACAAUAAGUAUUCCGCCUGGGGAGUGCGGCCGCAAGGUUGAAACUCAAAGGAAUUGACGGGG
This 397-nucleotide ribosomal RNA is filed under the name uncultured bacterium. RNAcentral describes it as "partial 16S ribosomal RNA". It matches the Rfam family "Bacterial small subunit ribosomal RNA", at positions 523 to 918 of the family's 1533-position model. The record is from RNAcentral.